UCAGAGCAGCGUGUUGCAGAUUUCCCGAGGCAGCUGAUAAUGUUGACAAACAGUGUAGCUGCCAUACAGGUUAUGAUGAGGAUGAGUCCGAGGAUGGAUCCGAGGAUGAUAAAAUGAGGAAAAUUGGUAUUUAGUGUAUGUUGUUAUUAUGACUUCAUCUUAUGCUUAGAUUAUUAAUGGUGCAUUUUGUUAUUAUGACUGAUUAAGCUUAAACUAACGGCUAUAUCUUUUGUCCAAACUACUAGUUUCUUAUCUGUUUAUUUUGACACUUGGAAUAGUGUCAAUUUUUGUUAACACUGCAUUUUAGUUUGAGGAAAUGAUCUAUUGAUGACUCAAUUUAAUUAGUUUUGAAUUUAGUUAUUGUUUAGUUUGUUUGGAAUUGGUUCUUAUGUUUGAUGACAUUGGAGUAAGUUAACACUCCUGACAAUAGGCAAAAGUU
Molecule: long non-coding RNA, 439 nt
Filed under: Trifolium pratense (red clover)
Lineage: Eukaryota; Viridiplantae; Streptophyta; Magnoliopsida; Fabales; Fabaceae
Description: long non-coding RNA (TPRA_LNC010562)
Source: RNAcentral